This 334-nucleotide ribosomal RNA is filed under the name uncultured bacterium. Its description in RNAcentral is "bacterial SSU rRNA". It matches the Rfam family "Bacterial small subunit ribosomal RNA", at positions 355 to 706 of the family's 1533-position model. The record is from RNAcentral.
UAGGGAAUAUUAGUAAUGGGCGAAAGCCUGAACUAGCAACGCCGCGUGUGCGAAGAAGGCCUUCGGGUUGUAAAGCACUUUUUGAGAGGAUGAGGAAGGACGGUACUCUCAGAAUAAGUCUCGGCUAACUACGUGCCAGCAGCCGCGGUAACACGUAGGAGGCGAACGUUAUCCGGAUUUACUGGGCGUAAAGCGCGUGUAGGUGGUUUGGUAAGUAGGGCGUGAAAGCUCCUGGCUCAACUGGGAGAGGCCGUUCUAAACUGCCGAACUGGAGGAUGGUAGAGGGAGGGGGAAGUACGGGUGUAGCGGUGGAUUGCGCAGAUAUCCGGAGGAA